CGCUAGCUACAGGCUUAACACAUGCAAGUCGCAGGGUAACAUGAGGAAAGCUUGCUUUCCUUGAUGACGACUGGCGCACGGGUGAGUAACGCGUAUCCAACCUUACCAUAACUACGGGAUAACCCGUUGAAAGACGGCCUAAUACCGUAUGAUAUCGUUUGCUGACAUCAAAUAACGAUUAAAGGUUUAGCGGUGAUGGAUGGGGAUGCGUCUGAUUAGCUUGUUGGCGGGGUAACGGCCCACCAAGGCGACGAUCAGUAGGGGUUCUGAGAGGAAGGUCCCCCACAUUGGAACUGAGACACGGUCCAAACUCCUACGGGAGGCAGCAGUGAGGAAUAUUGGUCAAUGGGCGAGAGCCUGAACCAGCCAAGUAGCGUGCAGGAUGACGGCCCUAUGGGUUGUAAACUGCUUUUAUGCGGGGAUAAAGUGCGUGACGUGUCAUGCAUUGCAGGUACCGCAUGAAUAAGGACCGGCUAAUUCCGUGCCAGCCGCCGCGGUAAAAGGG
Molecule: ribosomal RNA, 505 nt
Filed under: uncultured Bacteroidales bacterium
Lineage: Bacteria; Pseudomonadati; Bacteroidota; Bacteroidia; Bacteroidales
Description: bacterial SSU rRNA
Rfam family: Bacterial small subunit ribosomal RNA
Source: RNAcentral